AUACGGAGGGUGCAAGCGUUACUCGGAAUCACUGGGCGUAAAGGAUGCGUAGGCUGGAUGUCAAGUUGGAAGGGAAAUCCUAUGGCUUAACCAUAGAACUGCUUCCAAAACUGGCAACCUAGAGUGAGGGAGAGGCAGAUGGAAUUAGUGGUGUAGGGGUAAAAUCCGUAGAUAUCACUAGGAAUACCGAUUGCGAAGGCGAUCUGCUAGAACUCUACUGACGCUAAGGCAUGAAAGCGUGGGGAGCAAACAGGAUUAGAUACCCGAGUAGUCC
Molecule: ribosomal RNA, 274 nt
Filed under: uncultured bacterium
Lineage: Bacteria
Description: partial 16S ribosomal RNA
Rfam family: Bacterial small subunit ribosomal RNA
Source: RNAcentral